This 231-nucleotide ribosomal RNA is filed under the name uncultured bacterium. RNAcentral describes it as "partial 16S ribosomal RNA". It matches the Rfam family "Bacterial small subunit ribosomal RNA", at positions 524 to 755 of the family's 1533-position model. The record is from RNAcentral.
UACGAAGGGGCGUAGCGUUGUUCGGAGUUACUGGGCGUAAAGGCGCGUAGGCGGCUCUUCAAGUCGGGCGUGAAAGCCCUGGGCUCAACCCGGGAAUGGCGCCCGGGACUGGCGAGCUUGAGUGCGGGAGAGGAUGGUGGAAUUCCCAGUGUAGAGGUGAAAUUCGUAGAUAUUGGGAAGAACACCGGUGGCGAAGGCGGCCAUCUGGUCCGCAACUGACGCUGAGGCGCG